GCUCCGGUGGUGUAGCCCGGUUUAGCAUAGCGGCCUUAGCAGCCGUUGAUCGCGGGUUCGAAUCCCGCCCGGAAGG
This 76-nucleotide transfer RNA is filed under the name Candidatus Bathyarchaeota archaeon. RNAcentral's name for it is "tRNA-Leu". It matches the Rfam family "tRNA". Rfam says of the family: Transfer RNA (tRNA) molecules are approximately 80 nucleotides in length. Their secondary structure includes four short double-helical elements and three loops (D, anti-codon, and T loops). Further hydrogen bonds mediate the characteristic L-shaped molecular structure. tRNAs have two regions of fundamental functional importance: the anti-codon, which is responsible for specific mRNA codon recognition, and the 3' end, to which the tRNAs corresponding amino acid is attached (by aminoacyl-tRNA synthetases). tRNAs cope with the degeneracy of the genetic code in two manners: having more than one tRNA (with a specific anti-codon) for a particular amino acid; and 'wobble' base-pairing, i.e. permitting non-standard base-pairing at the 3rd anti-codon position. The record is from RNAcentral. Lineage: Archaea; Thermoproteati; Candidatus Bathyarchaeota.